RNAcentral lists this long non-coding RNA (1679 nucleotides) under Volvox carteri. Its description in RNAcentral is "long non-coding RNA (VCAR_LNC001650)". The record is from RNAcentral. Lineage: Eukaryota; Viridiplantae; Chlorophyta; Chlorophyceae; Chlamydomonadales; Volvocaceae.
AUUGGGUACGAUGGUAGCCGUGCCACACAUCCGCCUGUUUACCAUCGCACCCAUUGGGUACAAUGGUAGCCGUGCCACACAUCCGCCUGUUUACCAUCGCACCCAUUGGGUACGAUGGUAGCCGUGCCACACAUCCGCCUGUUUACCAUCGCACCCAUUGGGUACGAUGGUAGCCGCGCCACACAUCCGCCUGUUUACCAUCGCACCCAUUGGGUGCGAUGGUAGCCGUGCCACACAUCCGCCUGUUUACCAUCGCACCCAUUGGGUGCGAUGGUAGCCGCGCCACACAUCCACCUUUUUACCAUCGCACCCAUUGGGUACGAUGGUAGCCGCGCCACACAUCCGCCUUUUUACCAUUGCACCCAUUGGGUACGAUGGUAGCCGUGCCACACAUCCGCCUGUUUACCAUCGCCGCCUGUUUACCAUCGCACCCAUUGGGUACGAUGGUAGCCGUGCCACACAUCCGCCUUUUUACCAUCGCACCCAUUGGGUACAAUGGUAGCCGCGCCACACAUCCGCCUUUUUACCAUUGCACCCAUUGGGUACGAUGGUAGCCGUGCCACACAUCCGCCUGUUUACCAUCGCACCCAUUGGGUACGAUGGUAGCCGCGCCACACAUCUGCCUUUUUACCAUCUCACCCAUUGGGUACGAUGGUAGCCGUGCCACACAUCCGCCUGUUUACCAACGCCGCCUGUUUACCAUCGCACCCAUUGGGUACGAUGGUAGCCGCGCCACACAUCCGCCUUUUUACCAUCGCACCCAUUGGGUGCGAUGGUAGCCGUGCCACACAUCCGCCUGUUUACCAUCGCACCCAUUGGGUACGAUGGUAGCCGCGCCACACAUCUGCCUUUUUACCAUCUCACCCAUUGGGUACGAUGGUAGCCGUGCCACACAUCCGCCUGUUUACCAACGCCGCCUGUUUACCAUCGCACCCAUUGGGUACGAUGGUAGCCGCGCCACACAUCCGCCUUUUUACCAUCGCACCCAUUGGGUGCGAUGGUAGCCGUGCCACACAUCCGCCUGUUUACCAUCGCCGCCUGUUUACCAUCACACCCAUUGGGUACGAUGGUAGCCGUGCCACACAUCCGCCUGUUUACCAUCGCACCCAUUGGGUACGAUGGUAGCCGCGCCACACAUCCGCCUGUUUACCAUCACCGCCUUUUUACCAUCGCACCCAUUGGGUACGAUGGUAGCCGUGCCACACAUCCGCCUGUUUACCAUCACCGCCUGUUUACGCACCCAUUGGGUACGAUGGUAGCCGCGCCACACAUCCGCCUGUUUACCAUCGCCGCCUGUUUACCAUCGCACCCAUUGGGUACGAUGGUAGCCGCGCCACACAUCCGCCUUUUUACCAUCGCACCCAUUGGGUACGAUGGUAGCCAUGCCACACAUCCGCCUGUUUACCAUCGCCGCCUGUUUACCAUCGCACCCAUUGGGUACGAUGGUAGCCGUGCCACACAUCCGCCUGUUUACCAUCGCACCCAUUGGGUACGAUGGUAGCCGUGCCACACAUCCGCCUGUUUACCAUCGCACCCAUUGGGUACGAUGGUAGCCGUGCCACACAUCCGCCUUUUUACCAUCGCACCCUUUGGGUACGAUGGUAGCCGCGCCACACAUCCGCCUUUUUACCAUCGCACCCAUUGGGUACGAUGGUAGCCAUGCCACACAUCCGCCUGUU